This 253-nucleotide ribosomal RNA is filed under the name uncultured bacterium. RNAcentral describes it as "partial 16S ribosomal RNA". It matches the Rfam family "Bacterial small subunit ribosomal RNA", at positions 524 to 776 of the family's 1533-position model. The record is from RNAcentral.
UACGUAGGGUGCGAGCGUUGUCCGGAAUUAUUGGGCGUAAAGAGCUCGUAGGCGGUUUGUUGCGUCGGCUGUGAAAUCCCGAGGCUCAACCUCGGGUCUGCAGUCGAUACGAGCAAACUAGAGUGUUGCAGGGGAGACUGGAAUUCCAGGUGUAGCGGUGAAAUGCGUAGAUAUCUGGAGGAACACCGGUGGCGAAGGCGGCAUCCUGGACCAACACUGACGCUGAGGAGCGAAAGCCAGGGGAGCAAACGGG